RNAcentral lists this unclassified non-coding RNA (349 nucleotides) under Penaeus chinensis. RNAcentral's name for it is "uncharacterized LOC125032937, transcript variant X2". Lineage: Eukaryota; Metazoa; Arthropoda; Malacostraca; Decapoda; Penaeidae. The record is from RNAcentral.
AUUUGUUGUGCUUGGUCGAGUGAAGGUGUGAACGGUUUUGUCAAGUAAUUUUUGUUUUUGUGACGUGUGGUGUGCCAGGCCAGGAUUAUAAUUACUACAUAUAGUGACUCUUGUUGUCCAAACGUCUACCAAUAAAGGUAACUUUUGAGAGUGCCCCUUUUGACGGUCGCCGCUGCCGGGCACCCGCGGAUCCUUCCUGGGCGCAAGUGCAGUUGCCGGACGCCCUUUACUUACCCCGCGGAGAGGCGCACCGCCGUUAACUCUUGCGUCCCAGCGUGCGCUCACGGCCGCUUGGCAAUUCUGGUAAUGUCUACUUGGUCAGGGUGUUUUUUAAAUUAUGUGUUCAUGC